RNAcentral lists this ribosomal RNA (433 nucleotides) under uncultured bacterium. Its description in RNAcentral is "bacterial SSU rRNA". It matches the Rfam family "Bacterial small subunit ribosomal RNA", at positions 45 to 524 of the family's 1533-position model. The record is from RNAcentral.
GGCCUAACACAUGCAAGUCGAACGCUCGGGCAACGGGAGUGGCAGACGGGUGAGUAACACGUGGGAACGUACCCUUUGGUUCGGAAUAACCCUGGGAAACUAGGGCUAAUACCGGAUACGGCCGAGAGGCGAAAGGUUUACUGCCAAGGGAUCGGCCCGCGUCCGAUUAGCUAGUUGGUGUUGGUAACGGCUCACCAAGGCGACGAUCGGUAGCUGGUCUGAGAGGAUGGCCAGCCACAUUGGGACUGAGACACGGCCCAAACUCCUACGGGAGGCAGCAGUGGGGAAUAUUGGACAAUGGGCGCAAGCCUGAUCCAGCCAUGCCGCGUGAGUGAUGACGGCCUUAGGGUUGUAAAGCUCUUUUACCUGGGAAGAUAAUGACGGUACCAGGAGAAUAAGCCCCGGCUAACUUCGUGCCAGCAGCCGCGGUAAU